UACAGAGGUCUCAAGCGUUGUUCGGAUUUAUUGGGCGUAAAGCGUGCGUAGGCGGCGGGGUAAGUGAGGUGUGAAAUCCCGGAGCUUAACUCCGGAACUGCACUUUAUACUGCCUUGCUCGAGGGCUGGAAAGGAGACUGGAAUUUACGGUGUAGCAGUGAAAUGCGUAGAGAUCGUAAGGAAGACCAGUGGCGAAGGCGAGUCUCUGGAAAGCUGCUGACGCUGAGGCACGAAGGCCAGGGGAGCAAACGGG
This 253-nucleotide ribosomal RNA is filed under the name uncultured bacterium. RNAcentral's name for it is "partial 16S ribosomal RNA". It matches the Rfam family "Bacterial small subunit ribosomal RNA", at positions 524 to 776 of the family's 1533-position model. The record is from RNAcentral.